UUGUCUGAAAAAGUGACAGUAAUGUAUGUGAGAGACUGAAACAGAUGUGUGUUUAUUGACAGGUUAAUUCAUCCUCAGUGAAACCUGAAUGUGAUGUGACGUACAGUUCUGUGAUAAAUCUUCCCAAGACUGAAGCAUACAGUCCAGCAGAUGUAGAGGACAAUGUGAUCUACAGCUCUGUGUGUGAAUAGGACAGACUAGAUUAAAUACCUGAACAAAAUAUAAACACAGACGCAAGAGCUUGCAUGACACCAACACAGACAAAGUUGUUACAGUCAAAAUAUAUUUGGUGUGUUGAAAUGUGCAAAUGUUUUUAAAUAUGUUUGGUUGUGAUCUGCUUGUAUGACCAGUUAAAUGUUUUUACUAUAAUUUCUUAUUUCCGCUUGUUAAUUCAUGUCCUGAUCUGUAUACAGUAUAUAUAAAUUGUCAGACACACAAGUUGUAUGCCUUGUUUCUAAAUAUUGAACACACCUGCACUAUUUAGAUGUAUGUGUUUGACUUCACUGACUGGCGCAUGACAUCAAGGUACCGCAAGACAAUGUAGAAGCCCAGCUUUUAAACUUUUGAUGAUUUGUUGCCAAAAAAUUUAUUUAGCUCUUCUAAU
Long non-coding RNA from Paramisgurnus dabryanus, 604 nucleotides. RefSeq lists it as uncharacterized. The record is from RefSeq and is a predicted model, not a curated record. NCBI's taxonomy places the organism in Eukaryota, Metazoa, Chordata, Actinopteri, Cypriniformes, Cobitidae.